This 74-nucleotide transfer RNA is filed under the name Canis latrans (coyote). RNAcentral describes it as "tRNA-Leu". It matches the Rfam family "tRNA". From Rfam's summary of the family: Transfer RNA (tRNA) molecules are approximately 80 nucleotides in length. Their secondary structure includes four short double-helical elements and three loops (D, anti-codon, and T loops). Further hydrogen bonds mediate the characteristic L-shaped molecular structure. tRNAs have two regions of fundamental functional importance: the anti-codon, which is responsible for specific mRNA codon recognition, and the 3' end, to which the tRNAs corresponding amino acid is attached (by aminoacyl-tRNA synthetases). tRNAs cope with the degeneracy of the genetic code in two manners: having more than one tRNA (with a specific anti-codon) for a particular amino acid; and 'wobble' base-pairing, i.e. permitting non-standard base-pairing at the 3rd anti-codon position. The record is from RNAcentral. Lineage: Eukaryota; Metazoa; Chordata; Mammalia; Carnivora; Canidae.
GUUAGGGUGCAGAGCCCGGUAAUUGCGUAAAACUUAAACCUUUAUUGUCAGAGGUUCAAUUCCUCUCCCUAACA